AACAAUAAUGUGUGUGGAAAUUCCACAAGCCUGUGACCAGUACUUAUAGACUUUGUUUUGACCUCAAAUAAUGAGAAAUCAAGAAAGGUGUCCUGAGAUGUGAUAAAGGACUGCUCGGCUCCGUCUGCGGGCUGAGUCGAAGUGGCUCCCUGCUCUUGAUCUUCCUUUGGCUCUGUCUGGAGGAAAAGAAGACUCAUAAGACACCAAAGAAUGCAAACAUUUCAACUCAACGAUGACAAGUUCUCACAGGUCAAGUGGAAGAACAUGCAAUAUUUUAUGCCUUUUCAAGCACAAUUAUCUGCUGGCUUCUGAUGACAUUUAAUUUUCAUUCAGAUCAACAUAAUUUACUUGUCUUUCAUCAUCAUACUACCUGAUGAUGUGAAAUAUGCAUGAGGACAGAAAGAUGGUGAGAAGUUCAGCGAGCCAGGACUCUGCUCUUCCACACACUUACUGCAACUCUGCUUAACACUUAGAAAAGCUUAUUUUUCCCUGGAUAAUUUCCAAUGCAAAUGUAAAAGUCACAUUUAUAGUCAUUUUGUGUCAAUAGGAACUUUAUAUAAUAAAAGUGUUUACACAUUUUUCUAGUUAGCCUUAACUGUCAACUUAACACAGCCUUGUAAAUUUUACUAUCUCUCCAUUGUGAAGUUAAAAACAAAACUAAUUCCUUGAGAAGUCAUACGGCAUAUUUUGAUCACAUUUAUCCCCAACUCAUCCCCUUAAUUCCUAUAAUUUGUCUCUAUCUCCCCAAGCUCCCUAAUUUCAUGUUUUCUUUCAUUUGUUUUAUUUAAUAAACUAAUGACUUCAA
This is a non-coding RNA of Rattus norvegicus (Norway rat), 805 nucleotides long. The record is from RefSeq and is a predicted model, not a curated record. NCBI's taxonomy places the organism in Eukaryota, Metazoa, Chordata, Mammalia, Rodentia, Muridae.